Molecule: ribosomal RNA, 101 nt
Filed under: Cephalotus follicularis
Lineage: Eukaryota; Viridiplantae; Streptophyta; Magnoliopsida; Oxalidales; Cephalotaceae
Source: RNAcentral
GUGUGUGAUCAUAUUAGUACGUAUGCAUUGGAUCCCAUCAGAACUUCAAAGUUAAGCGUGCUUGUGAGAGAAUGGUACUAAGACGAGCUUUGUUGUAGGAC